This 275-nucleotide ribosomal RNA is filed under the name uncultured bacterium. RNAcentral's name for it is "partial 16S ribosomal RNA". It matches the Rfam family "Bacterial small subunit ribosomal RNA", at positions 334 to 606 of the family's 1533-position model. The record is from RNAcentral.
UAUUCCUACGGGACGCAGCAGUGAGGAAUAUUGGUCAAUGCCCGAGAGGCUGAACCAGCCAAGUCGCGUGAGGGAAGACGGCCCUACGGGUUGUAAACCUCUUUUGUCGGGGAGCAAAGCGAACCACGUGUGGUUCAUUGAGAGUACCCGAAGAAAAAGCAUCGGCUAACUCCGUGCCAGCAGCCGCGGUAAUACGGAGGAUGCGAGAGUUAUCCGGAUUUAUUGGGUUUAAAGGGUGCGCAGGCGGAGGUGCAAGUCAGCGGUCAAGUGGGGGG